RNAcentral lists this ribosomal RNA (200 nucleotides) under uncultured bacterium. RNAcentral's name for it is "partial 16S ribosomal RNA". It matches the Rfam family "Bacterial small subunit ribosomal RNA", at positions 30 to 233 of the family's 1533-position model. The record is from RNAcentral.
AUUGAACGCUGGCGGCAGGCCUAACACAUGCAAGUCGAGCGCGAAAGUUCUUCGGAAUGAGUAAAGCGGCGGACGGGUGAGUAAUACAUGGGAAUCUGCCUGGUAGUGGGGGACAACGUUUCGAAAGGGACGCUAAUACCGCAUACGCCCUACGGGGGAAAGGGGGGGAUCUUCGGACCUCUCGCUAUCAGAUGAGCCCA